Molecule: ribosomal RNA, 253 nt
Filed under: uncultured bacterium
Lineage: Bacteria
Description: partial 16S ribosomal RNA
Rfam family: Bacterial small subunit ribosomal RNA
Source: RNAcentral
UACGUAGGGGGCUAGCGUUGUCCGGAAUCAUUGGGCGUAAAGCGCGUGUAGGCGGCCCGGUAAGUCCGCUGUGAAAGUCGGGGGCUCAACCCUCGAAUGCCGGUGGAUACUGUCGGGCUAGAGUACGGAAGAGGCGAGUGGAAUUCCUGGUGUAGCGGUGAAAUGCGCAGAUAUCGGGAGGAACACCAGUGGCGAAGGCGGAACUCUGGGCCGGAACUGACGCUGAGGAGCGAAAGCGUGGGGAGCGAACAGG